Molecule: long non-coding RNA, 454 nt
Filed under: Zostera marina
Lineage: Eukaryota; Viridiplantae; Streptophyta; Magnoliopsida; Alismatales; Zosteraceae
Description: long non-coding RNA (ZMAR_LNC004442)
Source: RNAcentral
AGAUCUAAAAAAGACAUAAGCAUGUUCUUGUCGUCCAUCUGAACAUUGUAGAGACAAGAAACAAAGGAAGAUACCAAGGCAUAUGCAGCAACAAUGGCAUUCCCAAUGAAGAAGAACCUAAGAAUAAUUAAGGCCAGCAAGAAUUGAAGAUCAAUACCUGAAGAUUUGGAGAACUUAUAAGAAAAAAAGAAUGAAAACUAUAUAUAUCAUCAUACUGAAACGUUGGAGAAUUUUUGUAAGAAGCGGAAACUAUUAAUCCUCCAAUGUUGGAGACUUGCUUGUUGAAGAACAUGAGUGCAGCAGCAAAACUGGUAAAUAAAAAUGCCAAAAUUCUUAGAAUUGUAUCACAAGAACAACAACCCAUCUUCUGAAUUCUGGUUUUUCAAGAUCUUUGAUCACUUGUAUCUUUGAUCUUGAUCUAGUAUCUGAUAUAUAUAUAUAACACAUUCUCUAU